CCCGCUGAACUUAAGCAUAUCAAUAAGCGGAGGAAAAGAAACCAACAGGGAUUGCCUCAGUAACGGCGAGUGAAGCGGCAACAGCUCAAAUUUGAAAUCUGGCCUCUUUGGGGUCCGAGUUGUAAUUUGGAGAGGACGUUUUGGGUACCGCGCCGGUUUAAAUUUCUUGGAACAGAAUGUCAAAGAGGGUGAGAAUCCCGUCUUGGACCGGCGUAGGGCCUGUGUAAAACUCCUUCGACGAGUCGAGUUGUUUGGGAAUGCAGCUCAAAAUGGGUGGUAAAUUUCAUCUAAAGCUAAAUAUUGGCCAGAGACCGAUAGCGCACAAGUAGAGUGAUCGAAAGAUGAAAAGCACUUUGAAAAGAGAGUUAAACAGUAUGUGAAAUUGUUGAAAGGGAAGCGCUUGCAACCAGACUUGUGCGCGGCGGUUCCCCCUUCCUUCUGGUUGGGAUAUUCCGUCGUGUCCAGGCCAACAUCGGUUCUGGGGGCCGGUUAAAGGCUUGGGGAAUGUAUCUACCCUUCGGGCGUAGACUUAUAGCCUCGAGUGUCAUGCGGCCUCCCGGGACCGAGGAACGCGCUCCGGCUCGGAUGUUGGCGUAAUGGUUGUUAGCGACCCGUCUUGAAACACGG
This 627-nucleotide ribosomal RNA is filed under the name uncultured fungus. RNAcentral describes it as "eukaryotic LSU rRNA". It matches the Rfam family "Eukaryotic large subunit ribosomal RNA", at positions 24 to 664 of the family's 3401-position model. Lineage: Eukaryota; Fungi. The record is from RNAcentral.